This 691-nucleotide ribosomal RNA is filed under the name uncultured bacterium. Its description in RNAcentral is "bacterial SSU rRNA". It matches the Rfam family "Bacterial small subunit ribosomal RNA", at positions 32 to 715 of the family's 1533-position model. The record is from RNAcentral.
AACGCUAGCUACAGGCUUAACACAUGCAAGUCGAGGGGCAGCAUAAAAGUAGCAAUACUUUGGUGGCGACCGGCGCACGGGUGAGUAACGCGUAUGCAACCUACCUAUCAGAGGGGAAUAACCCGGCGAAAGUCGGACUAAUACCGCAUAAAACAGGGGCACCGCAUGGUGAUAUUUGUUAAAGAAAUUCGCUGAUAGAUGGGCAUGCGUUCCAUUAGGUAGUUGGUGAGGUAACGGCUCACCAAGCCGACGAUGGAUAGGGGAACUGAGAGGUUGGUCCCCCACACUGGUACUGAGACACGGACCAGACUCCUACGGGAGGCAGCAGUGAGGAAUAUUGGUCAAUGGGCGGGAGCCUGAACCAGCCAAGUCGCGUGAAGGAAGAAGGAUCUAUGGUUCGUAAACUUCUUUUGCAGGGGAAUAAAGUGCAGGACGUGUCCUGUUUUGUAUGUACCCUGAGAAUAAGGAUCGGCUAACUCCGUGCCAGCAGCCGCGGUAAUACGGAGGAUCCGAGCGUUAUCCGGAUUUAUUGGGUUUAAAGGGUGCGUAGGUGGUUUGAUAAGUCAGCGGUGAAAGUUUGCAGCUUAACUGUAAAAAUGCCGUUGAAACUGUCGGACUUGAGUGUAAAUGAGGUAGGCGGAAUGCGUGGUGUAGCGGUGAAAUGCAUAGAUAUCACGAAGAACUCCGAUUG